This is a long non-coding RNA of Sceloporus undulatus (fence lizard), 1707 nucleotides long. RefSeq lists it as uncharacterized. The record is from RefSeq and is a predicted model, not a curated record. The transcript is spliced from 4 exons. Lineage: Eukaryota; Metazoa; Chordata; Lepidosauria; Squamata; Phrynosomatidae.
CCACUGUACCAUCUAAGCUGCAAGGAAUCUUUUUUGCCUCAGUGGACCUCAAAGGAUUUUAACUUAAAUUUCCCAUGUCCAAACCCAAUACUGUCUCCAUUGUACAGAACCACAAAGGGGAAACAGGUUUUACUACCUACUGGAGAGCUAAGACUAAAGAAGAAAACCCAGUGACAAAUCUGAAGAAUGAAUUUUAAGAAUCCUGCUCUUUGACACAGGACAAAUGUUCUAUGAUAAAGCUCUGCUCAAAUAUUUUCUUUGGAUCUCAAGAAGUAGACUGAAGUCUGAGUUUAAGAAUGCUUGGUAAACAGCCUGCAGUUGUGAAGGGCUCCUGUGAAGAAGAUUCCAUGUUAUUCCUAAAUAUUCAGGUACACAGAGCAGGCUUAGACUCGGAAGAAGGAGGAGUGAAGAUCACAGGAAGGAAUCUCAACAACCUAAGAUCUGCAGAUUAUGCUAUAAUACUGGCAGAAACUAAUGAAGACUUGGAACUGUUACUAAAGAAAGUCCAAGAAGAAAGGCAGGCUUACUACUGAACAAUAAGAAAACAAAGAUAAUGCUCAUGGUGGAUCUACACAAAUUCAGUAUAGACGAUGAGGAAACUGAAAUAUUUAAAGACUUCCCAUACUUUAGAUCAAUCCUUGAUUGGAAGGGAAAUUAUAGUCAAGAAAUUUACAACUUAACGCCAAAGUGAAGACUGUUCAUGCUAUGCUAUUUCCCAUCACUAUGUGUGGGUGUGAGAGCUGGAUGGUGAAGAAAGGUGAUAGAAAGAAAAUUAACUCAUCUGAGAUAUGGUUCUGGAGAAGUGUUCUGUGAAUGGUGAAAAAGACAAGCAAAUGGGUCCAAAAACAAAUCAGACCUCAAUUCUCCCUAGAAACCAGGAUGACAAAACUGAAACUGUUGCACUUAACCACAUCACUAGAAAAGAUGACAAUGCUUAGAAAGAUAGAGAGUUGUAAGAAGAAAGGAAGACCACACACCAGAGGGAUAGAUUCGAUCAAAGAGGACACAGCCCUAAGUGUGCAGGAACUGGGCAGGACCACUGAGGACAGAAAAUCAUCAAGAUGCCUCAUUCAUAGGGUCAGCAUGGGUAGAGAUCGACACAGUAACAAGCAGGCAGAUGCUUAAGAAGCAAGGUUACAUGUUGCUGAAAAAGAAGAAUGCAAUAGUAACAAAAUGAGGUCAUACCAUGGAAAUGCAUGGCUGAAUGGCAUGAUGGGAAUCUAGAAGAAUUUAGCAAAAGGGCUCAGCUUCUAUAAACUAUAUUCCAUAUUUCAUCAACACCACCAAUAACACUCCUGUAUGUUUCACCUUUUUUGCUGGACAACACAUUAUGUGCUUCUUAGAAAAUGGCAUCCCCGUUUUAUCAGAAACAUGUAAGAUCAGUUAUUCAUGUUGUUAUGGUAUAUGCUCAUUCACAACUUUACCCUCAGAAUCUAUAAUGAGCAAAAAAGGGAGGGGAUGCAUAACAUCACAGGUUAAUAGAUAUUUUAAGGGAUAAACAAACAGCAGGAUACCAUUUUCACUAACUUGUCCAGGCUGCAACUAUCCACUGUUUGAACCUUAACUCAUAUCAAACUAUUAUGUCUUAAUAGCUAUGGAGGUAUUCUUAUGGGGGAUCUAUAUUAGAGGUAUGAACAAGAGGAGUACAUCCUGUUUGAGCUAUAACAACUCAAGAAGCAUUUUCCAGAUUUAAAACUGCUUUGCCAA